Molecule: ribosomal RNA, 279 nt
Filed under: uncultured Eubacteriales bacterium
Lineage: Bacteria; Bacillati; Bacillota; Clostridia; Eubacteriales
Description: uncultured Clostridiales bacterium partial 16S ribosomal RNA
Rfam family: Bacterial small subunit ribosomal RNA
Source: RNAcentral
AAAGAUUUCUUCGGAAUGAAUUUGAUUUAGUUUAGUGGCGGACGGGUGAGUAACGCGUGAGUAACCUGCCUUCAAGAGGGGGAUAACAUUCUGAAAAGAAUGCUAAUACCGCAUGACAUAUUGGAACCACAUGGUUUUGAUAUCAAAGAUUUUAUCGCUUGAAGAUGGACUCGCGUCCGAUUAGUUAGUUGGUGAGGUAACGGCUAACCAAGACCGCGAUCGGUAGCCGGACUGAGAGGUUGAACGGCCACAUUGGGACUGAGACACGGCCCAGACUCC